This 477-nucleotide ribosomal RNA is filed under the name uncultured organism. RNAcentral describes it as "partial 16S ribosomal RNA". It matches the Rfam family "Bacterial small subunit ribosomal RNA", at positions 333 to 801 of the family's 1533-position model. The record is from RNAcentral.
ACACUCCUGCGGGAGACAGCAGUGGGGAAUAUUGCACAAUGGGCGCAAGCCUGAUGCAGCCAUGCCGCGUGUAUGAAGAAGGCCUUCGGGUUGUAAAGUACUUUCAGCGGGGAGGAAGGCAAUACGGUUAAUAACCGUGUUGAUUGACGUUACCCGCAGAAGAAGCACCGGCUAACUCCGUGCCAGCAGCCGCGGUAAUACGGAGGGUGCAAGCGUUAAUCGGAAUUACUGGGCGUAAAGCGCACGCAGGCGGUCUGUCAAGUCGGAUGUGAAAUCCCCGGGCUCAACCUGGGAACUGCAUUCGAAACUGGCAGGCUUGAGUCUUGUAGAGGGGGGUAGAAUUCCAGGUGUAGCGGUGAAAUGCGUAGAGAUCUGGAGGAAUACCGGUGGCGAAGGCGGCCCCCUGGACAAAGACUGACGCUCAGGUGCGAAAGCGUGGGGAGCAAACAGGAUUAGAAACCCCGGUAGUCCCAUGAU